Molecule: ribosomal RNA, 393 nt
Filed under: uncultured bacterium
Lineage: Bacteria
Description: bacterial SSU rRNA
Rfam family: Bacterial small subunit ribosomal RNA
Source: RNAcentral
GACGAACGCUGGCGGCGUGCUUAACACAUGCAAGUCGAACGGUGAAGCCUUCGGGUGGAUCAGUGGCGAACGGGUGAGUAACACGUGAGCAAUCUGCCCUUGACUCUGGGAUAACUUCGGGAAACCGGAGCUAAUACCGGAUAUGACAUCUGGCCGCAUGGUCUGGGUGUGGAAAGAUUUAUCGGUCAAGGAUGAGCUCGCGGCCUAUCAGCUUGUUGGUGGGGAAUGGCCUACCAAGGCGACGACGGGUAGCCGGCCUGAGAGGGUGACCGGCCACACUGGGACUGAGACACGGCCCAGACUCCUACGGGAGGCAGCAGUGGGGAAUAUUGCACAAUGGGCGAAAGCCUGAUGCAGCGACGCCGCGUGAGGGAUGACGGCCUGGUGUAACGU